GGGCAAGUACCAGAGUGGCCAAAUGGGGCAGACUGUAAAUCUGCUGGUUAUACCUUCGGUGGUUCGAAUCCAUCCUUGCCCA
Molecule: transfer RNA, 82 nt
Filed under: Bacteroidales bacterium
Lineage: Bacteria; Pseudomonadati; Bacteroidota; Bacteroidia; Bacteroidales
Also listed under: 1 other name
Description: tRNA-Tyr
Rfam family: tRNA
About the family: Transfer RNA (tRNA) molecules are approximately 80 nucleotides in length. Their secondary structure includes four short double-helical elements and three loops (D, anti-codon, and T loops).
Source: RNAcentral